UUUGGAUAGAUAGCCAAUUAGGGCUAGAAUGGGGCUGAUGGACCAUGAACUACAGUUAAGGAAUUGGCUUUCAUUAUUAUGGGAAUACGUGCAAGCUUAGUAGAAAUGAAAGGCUUAAGAAGUUAAAAAGUGAAGAGCUCAGAAAAGAAGCAAGACAAUUAAAACGGGAACUCUUAGCAGCAAAACAAAAAAAAGUAGAAAAUGCAGCAAAACCAGCAGAAAAAAGAAGUGAAGAGGAAGAAGCCACUCCAGAUGGUGCUGUUGCCGAAUACAGAAGAGAAAAGCAAAAGUAUGAAGCUUUGAGGAAGCAACAGUCAAAGAAGGGAACUUCCCGGGAAGAUCAGACCCUUGCACUGCUGAACCAGUUUAAAUCUAAACUCACUCAAGCAAUUGCUGAAACGCCUGAAAAUGACAUUCCUGAAACAGAAGUAGAAGACGAUGAAGGAUGGAUGUCACAUGUACUUCAGUUUGAGGAUAAAAGCAGAAAAGUGAAAGAUGCAAGCAUGCAAGACUCAGAUACAUUUGAAAUCUAUGAUCCUCGGAAUCCAGUGAAUAAAAGAAGGAGGGAAGAAAGCAAAAAGCUGAUGAGAGAGAAAAAAGAAAGAAGAUAAAAUGAGAAUAAUGAUAACCAGAACUUGCUGGAAAUGUGCCUGCAAUGGCCUUGUAACAGCCAUUGUUCCCAACAGCAUCACUUAGGGGUGUGAAAAAAAGUAUUUUUGAACCUGUUGUCUGGUUUUGAAAAACAAUUAUCUUGUUUUGCAAAUUGUGGAAUGAUGUAAGCAAAUGCUUUUGGUUACUGGUACAUGUGUUUUUUCCUAGCUGACCUUUUAUAUUGCUAAAUCUGAAAUAAAAUUACACAUUUCAUGUUAACC
RNAcentral lists this small RNA (872 nucleotides) under Pongo abelii (Sumatran orangutan). RNAcentral's name for it is "processed transcript". Lineage: Eukaryota; Metazoa; Chordata; Mammalia; Primates; Hominidae. The record is from RNAcentral.